CUGUUUUGGUUUUUUAACCUUCAUUUAUUUCAUUGGUUAGUUAAACUACUGCAGAAAUUUUUGGAAAGAUCGUCCUGGUGCUUCUGCAAGCGCCAAAAGCAAACCAUGGACCUGAUAGUUCAGGCAGAAUACCAUUUUUUAAAAUAAACCAAAGUCUGUAUUUUAUCCUUCCCCAUUCCACAGACCGCAGCAGACUGUGGAAGCUGGCGAGGCCCAGUAGAAUCCCGCGACCCCACAGCCUCAGCGCUCAGGGUUCCACGGUCCAGUACAGGCUAAACUGACCUCGCCGACGGCCGCGCCCACUUGGGCACUUCUCCCGGGUCUUGUUCUACGGGCGUUUGAGGAUUUCUUAGUCUCUUUCUUCCCUGGCACUCUUCCUCCGAGGCCAGAAGUCUGAAUUACUAGCAGCUACCAGCCGCUUGGAGCGGGAACGUGCUGUAAGAGCGAAACGUUGCCCCACUUGGCGGUGUCCAGGGUCAGAAGUCAGUGGUGGCUAUACUCGGAAUAA
RNAcentral lists this long non-coding RNA (508 nucleotides) under Homo sapiens (human). RNAcentral describes it as "HSALNT0091046". The record is from RNAcentral. Lineage: Eukaryota; Metazoa; Chordata; Mammalia; Primates; Hominidae.